CCUUGAGUUUGAUCAUGGCUCAGGAUGAACGCUGGCGGCGUGCCUAAUACAUCCUAGUCGAACGAGGUGCUUUUUGUAGCAAUACGAGGAGUCUCCUAGUGGCGAACGGGUGAGUAACGCGUGGGUGACCUACCCCAAAGUGUGGAAUAACAGUCCGAAAGGAUUGCUAAUGCCGCAUGUGGUCUGCGAGUUUAGAAAUCGUUGACUAAAGGAGCAAUCCGCUUUGGGAGGGACCUGCGUCCCAUCAGCUAGUUGGCGAGGUAACGGCUCACCAAGGCGACGACGGGUAGGGGACCUGAGAGGGUGGCCCCCCACAAUGGAACUGAAACACGGUCCAUACACCUACGGGUGGCAGCAGUAGGGAAUAUUGCGCAAUGGGCGAAAGCCUGAUGCAGCUUUUUCGCGUGCGCGAUGAAGGUCUUCGGAUCGUAAAGCGCUUUUCUGGGAGAUGAGAAAGGACAGUAUCCCAGGAAUAAGUCUCGGCUAACUACGUGCCAGCAGCCGCGGUAC
Molecule: ribosomal RNA, 510 nt
Filed under: uncultured Chloroflexota bacterium
Lineage: Bacteria; Bacillati; Chloroflexota
Description: bacterial SSU rRNA
Rfam family: Bacterial small subunit ribosomal RNA
Source: RNAcentral